Molecule: long non-coding RNA, 347 nt
Organism: Zalophus californianus (California sea lion)
Lineage: Eukaryota; Metazoa; Chordata; Mammalia; Carnivora; Otariidae
Exons: 3
Source: RefSeq, a predicted model, not a curated record
UGGGAAUUCCUGAACAUUAUGUCUGAAGUCUGAAUAAGUAAAGGAUUAAUAAAUUUGUAAACAUCAACAGAACACUAAAGUGCAUUUCUCUCACUUGCAACGGAGUCAAGUCUUAUUUGAUGAAGAGAAGGAUAAUAAAUCACAGAGGUGUCUAAUUGUAUCCCCAGGAUCCUAGAGUGAAUCAAAUGACUUCAUUAUUCAUUUCAGAAAAUAGACUCUGGAGAGCUCUGGGUGGAUCCAGAGCUCGUGUUCUUGCAGCUCACCUCCAGCCCUGGCAUGGUUUUGUCUGGAUUCAUUUCUGGGGUGGACCAACCUCGCAGGCCCCAAAGUGAGGAUGUGAAGAUUCA